Fundulus heteroclitus (mummichog) is the source of this 223-nucleotide long non-coding RNA. RefSeq lists it as uncharacterized. The record is from RefSeq and is a predicted model, not a curated record. Lineage: Eukaryota; Metazoa; Chordata; Actinopteri; Cyprinodontiformes; Fundulidae. The transcript is spliced from 2 exons.
UUGUUAUUUUUUGGUUAUUAGAGACACUAGGGGAGAGGAAGAGGAAACUAAAUGAGCAGAUGAAACGAGGCGUGGAAGAUCCAGACGAGGAGAGAUGACUACUGGGUGGAGGUAGCAGGACAGAAUGAAGCACAGGGAGACGAGGCCUCCGACUCGUCAUGCUGAGCAGCUACACACUCAGCUCUGACUCCUCGGGCUGGAUUAGAUGCUGACAGAACAGGUG